UUUCCGUAGGUGAACCUGCGGAAGGAUCAUUACCGAGUGCUGGGUCCUUCGGGGCCCAACCUCCCACCCGUGCAUACCGUACCCUGUUGCUUCGGCGGGCCCGCCUUCGGGCGGCCCGGGGCCUGCCCCCGGGACCGCGCCCGCCGGAGACCCCAAUAGAACACUGUCUGAAAGCGUGCAGUCUGAGUUGAUUGAUACCAAUCAGUUAAAACUUUCAACAAUGGAUCUCUUGGUUCCG
This 238-nucleotide unclassified non-coding RNA is filed under the name soil metagenome. RNAcentral's name for it is "partial contains small subunit ribosomal RNA, internal transcribed spacer 1, and 5.8S ribosomal RNA". The record is from RNAcentral.